RNAcentral lists this ribosomal RNA (548 nucleotides) under uncultured bacterium. RNAcentral's name for it is "bacterial SSU rRNA". It matches the Rfam family "Bacterial small subunit ribosomal RNA", at positions 355 to 896 of the family's 1533-position model. The record is from RNAcentral.
UAGGGAAUCUUCCGCAAUGGGCGAAAGCCUGACGGAGCAACGCCGCGUGAGUGAAGAAGGAUUUCGGUUCGUAAAGCUCUGUUGUUAGGGAAGAAUGAUUGUGUAGUAACUAUACACAGUAGAGACGGUACCUAACCAGAAAGCCACGGCUAACUACGUGCCAGCAGCCGCGGUAAUACGUAGGUGGCAAGCGUUGUCCGGAAUUAUUGGGCGUAAAGCGCGCGCAGGUGGUUUAAUAAGUCUGAUGUGAAAGCCCACGGCUCAACCGUGGAGGGUCAUUGGAAACUGUUAAACUUGAGUGCAGGAGAGAAAAGUGGAAUUCCUAGUGUAGCGGUGAAAUGCGUAGAGAUUAGGAGGAACACCAGUGGCGAAGGCGGCUUUUUGGCCUGUAACUGACACUGGGGCGCGAAAGCGUGGGGAGCAAACAGGAUUAGAUACCCUGGUAGUCCACGCCGUAAACGAUGAGUGCUAAGUGUUGGUCUCAUAAGAGAUCAGUGCUGCAGCUAACGCAUUAAGCACUCCGCCUGGGGAGUACGACCGCAAGGUUG